CCUACGGGAGGCAGCAGUGAGGAAUAUUGGUCAAUGGGCGCGAGCCUGAACCAGCCAAGUCGCGUGUAGGAUGACUGCCCUACGGGUUGUAAACUUCUUUUAUAAAGGAAUAAAGUGAGGCACGCGUACCUUUUUGUAUGGACUUUAUGAGUAAGAGUAGGCUAACUCCGGGCCAGCAGCCGAGGUAAUACGGGGGAUCCGAGCGUUAUCCGGAUUUAUUGGGUUUAAAGGGAGCGUAGAUGGGUUGUUAAGUCAGUUGUGAAAGUUUGCGGCUCAACCGUAAAAUUGCAAUUGAUACUGGCAGUCUUGAGUACAGGUGAGGUAGGCGGAAUUCGUGGUGUAGCGGUGAAAUGCUUAGAUAUCACGAAGAACUCCGAUUGCGAAGGCAGCUUACUAAACUGCAACUGACAUUGAUGCUCGAAAGUGUGGGUAUCAAACAGGAUUAGAUACCCCUGUAGUC
This 460-nucleotide ribosomal RNA is filed under the name uncultured bacterium. Its description in RNAcentral is "partial 16S ribosomal RNA". It matches the Rfam family "Bacterial small subunit ribosomal RNA", at positions 338 to 795 of the family's 1533-position model. The record is from RNAcentral.